AGACCCGAAACCCGGUGAUCUAGCCAUGGGCAGGUUGAAGGUUGGGUAACACUAACUGGAGGACCGAACCGACUAAUGUUGAAAAAUUAGCGGAUGACCUGUGGCUGGGGGUGAAAGGCCAAUCAAACCGGGAGAUAGCUGGUUCUCCCCGAAAGCUAUUUAGGUAGCGCCUCGUGAAUUCAUCUCCGGGGGUAGAGCACUGUUUCGGCUAGGGGGCCAUCCCGGCUUACCAACCCGAUGCAAACUGCGAAUACCGGAGAAUGUUAUCACGGGAGACACACGGCGGGUGCUAACGUCCGUCGUGAAGAGGGAAACAACCCAGACCGCCAGCUAAGGUCCCAAAGUCAUGGUUAAGUGGGAAACGAUGUGGGAAGGCCCAGACAGCCAGGAUGUUGGCUUAGAAGCAGCCAUCAUUUAAAGAAAGCGUAAUAGCUCACUGGUCGAGUCGGCCUGCGCGGAAGAUGUAACGGGGCUAAACCAUGCACCGAAGCUGCGGCAGCGAACGUAUCACCCAAGACAACUUUACGGAGUUGACGAUUGACGGAGCGAAGCGACGUCAAAGCGUUCAUUAAAGUCGAGUUGGCUUAGGGAUACGUUCGUUGGGUAGGGGAGCGUUCUGUAAGCCUGUGAAGGUGUGUCGUGAGGCAUGCUGGAGGUAUCAGAAGUGCGAAUGCUGACAUAAGUAACGAUAAAGCGGGUGAAAAGCCCGCUCGCCGGAAGACCAAGGGUUCCUGUCCAACGUUAAUCGGGGCAGGGUGAGUCGACCCCUAAGGCGAGGCCGAAAGGCGUAGUCGAUGGGAAACGGGUUAAUAUUCCCGUACUUGGUGUUACUGCGAAGGGGGGACGGAGAAGGCUAUGUUGGCCGGGCGACGGUUGUCCCGGUUUAAGCGUGUAGGUGUGUGUUCCAGGUAAAUCCGGUUCACUUUAACACUGAGGCG
RNAcentral lists this ribosomal RNA (938 nucleotides) under Salmonella enterica. RNAcentral describes it as "partial 23S ribosomal RNA". It matches the Rfam family "Bacterial large subunit ribosomal RNA", at positions 711 to 1563 of the family's 2925-position model. RNAcentral also lists the same sequence under 1 other name. The record is from RNAcentral. Lineage: Bacteria; Pseudomonadati; Pseudomonadota; Gammaproteobacteria; Enterobacterales; Enterobacteriaceae.